RNAcentral lists this ribosomal RNA (431 nucleotides) under uncultured bacterium. RNAcentral's name for it is "partial 16S ribosomal RNA". It matches the Rfam family "Bacterial small subunit ribosomal RNA", at positions 29 to 507 of the family's 1533-position model. The record is from RNAcentral.
AGCGAACGCUGGCGGCAGGCUUAACACAUGCAAGUCGAGCGCCCCGCAAGGGGAUCGGCAGACGGGAGAGUACCACGUGGGGACAUACCUUUUGGUUCGGAACAACUGAGGGAAACUUCAGCUAAUACCGGAUAAGCCCUUACGGGGAAAGAUUUAUCGCCGAAGGAUUGGCCCGCGUCUGAUUAGCUAGUUGGUGAGGUAACGGCUCACCAAGGCGACGAUCAGUAGCUGGUCUGAGAGGAUGAUCAGCCUCACUGGGACUGAGACACGGCCCAGACUCCUACGGGAGGCAGCAGUGGGGAAUAUUGGACAAUGGGGGCAACCCUGAUCCAGCCAUGACGCGUGAGUGAUGAAGGCCUUAGGGUUGUAAAGCUCUUUUGCCCGGGAAGAUAAUGACGGUACCGGGAGAAUAAGCCCCGGCUAACUUCGUG